Molecule: ribosomal RNA, 495 nt
Filed under: uncultured bacterium
Lineage: Bacteria
Description: partial 16S ribosomal RNA
Rfam family: Bacterial small subunit ribosomal RNA
Source: RNAcentral
UGAACGCUGGCGGCGUGCCUCCUACAUGCACGUCGAGCGAACGGACGAGAAGCUUGCUUCUCUGAUGUUAGCGGCGGACGGGUGAGUAACACGUGGAUAACCUAUCUAUAAGACUGGGAUAACUUCGGGAAACCGGAGCUAAUACCGGAUGAUAUUUUGAACCGCAUGGUUCAAAAGUGAAAGACGGUCUUGCUGUCACUUAUAGAUGGAUCCGCGCUGCAUUAGCUAGUUGGUAAGGUAACGGCUUACCAAGGCAACGAUGCAUAGCCGACCUGAGAGGGUGAUCGGCCACACUGGAACUGAGACACGGUCCAGACUCCUACGGGAGGCAGCAGUAGGGAAUCUUCCGCAAUGGGCGAAAGCCUGACGGAGCAACGCCGCGUGAGUGAUGAAGGUCUUCGGAUCGUAAAACUCUGUUAUUAGGGAAGAACAUAUGUGUAAGUAACUGUGCACAUCUUGACGGUACCUAAUCAGAAAGCCACGGCUAACUACGUG